This 167-nucleotide ribosomal RNA is filed under the name Bruckenthalia spiculifolia. Its description in RNAcentral is "5.8S ribosomal RNA". It matches the Rfam family "5.8S ribosomal RNA". Rfam says of the family: 5.8S ribosomal RNA (5.8S rRNA) is a component of the large subunit of the eukaryotic ribosome. The record is from RNAcentral. Lineage: Eukaryota; Viridiplantae; Streptophyta; Magnoliopsida; Ericales; Ericaceae.
CUAAACAACUCUCGGCAACGGAUAUCUCGGCUCUUGCAUCGAUGAAGAACGUAGCGAAAUGCGAUACUUGGUGUGAAUUGCAGAAUCCCGUGAACCAUCGAGUCUUUGAACGCAAGUUGCGCCUGAAGCCAUCAGGUUGAAGGCACGUCUGCCUGGGCGUCACGCAU